UCACUCUGGGGUGGAGGGCAGGGGCGGAGAGGAGGCCAGCGCGCUCCCCGUUCUGACUCCCCGGCCGGGAUGGACGGUGCCAGGAGCAUCCGACUGGCUCCAGUGCGCCUGGUCACCCCCUCCCUGUCCUUCUUCCAGGGACAAGGACCCCGCAUCACUCAACACGGACAGAGGGAAGCUGGCCGGGGCCGUGGACCUGGAGCGUCAGAGCUGAAGCCCCGCUUCACGGGCUCCACGCUCUCCACGACGGAUUUU
RNAcentral lists this long non-coding RNA (255 nucleotides) under Capra hircus (goat). RNAcentral describes it as "lncRNA (ENSCHIG00010017807.1)". The record is from RNAcentral. Lineage: Eukaryota; Metazoa; Chordata; Mammalia; Artiodactyla; Bovidae.